Small nuclear RNA from Talpa occidentalis (Iberian mole), 103 nucleotides. The record is from RefSeq and is a predicted model, not a curated record. Lineage: Eukaryota; Metazoa; Chordata; Mammalia; Eulipotyphla; Talpidae.
UUGCUUCAGUAGCACAUAUACUAAAAUUGGAACGAUACAGAAAAGGUUAGCAUGUUCACUGUGCAAGGAUAACAUGCAAAUUUGUGAAGCAUUUCAUAUAAAG